RNAcentral lists this ribosomal RNA (324 nucleotides) under Bodomorpha sp. Its description in RNAcentral is "SSU rRNA". The stretch from base 106 to 324 matches the Rfam family "Eukaryotic small subunit ribosomal RNA", at positions 737 to 955 of the family's 1831-position model. Lineage: Eukaryota; Cercozoa; Glissomonadida; Viridiraptoridae. The record is from RNAcentral.
GAUUUCUGGCUUAGUGCGCCUGGCCCGCCGCGGUUACGUGUGUGAGUGCCGGGUCGCGCUUGCCAUCCUUCUAGAGAACGUCUCUACUCUUAACUGAGCCGGGGGCGCAAUCUAGAUCUUUUACUUUGAAAAAAUUAGAGUGUUUAAAGCAGGCAUUUGCUAUGAAUACAUUAGCAUGGAAUAAUAAUCUAGGACUUUCGGUUCUAUUUUGUUGGUGUUCUGGAGCUGAAGUAAUGAUUGAUAGGGAUAGUUGGGGGUGCUAGUAUUCAAUGGCCAGAGGUGAAAUUCUCGGAUUCCUUGAAGACUAACUUAUGCGAAAGCAUU